This 252-nucleotide ribosomal RNA is filed under the name uncultured bacterium. Its description in RNAcentral is "partial 16S ribosomal RNA". It matches the Rfam family "Bacterial small subunit ribosomal RNA", at positions 524 to 776 of the family's 1533-position model. The record is from RNAcentral.
UACGUAGGGUCCGAGCGUUAAUCGGAAUUACUGGGCGUAAAGCGUGCGCAGGCGGUUUUGUAAGCCAGAUGUGAAAUCCCCGGGCUUAACCUGGGAACUGCAUUUGGGACUGCAAGGCUCGAGUACGGCAGAGGGAGGUGGAAUUCCACGUGUAGCAGUGAAAUGCGUAGAGAUGUGGAGGACACCGAUGGCGAAGGCAGCCUCCUGGGCCAGUACUGACGCUCAUGCACGAAAGCGUGGGGAGCAAACAGG